UACGAAGGAUCCAAGCGUUGUCCGGAUUUACUGGGUUUAAAGGGUGCGUAGGCGGACUUUUAAGUCAGUGGUGAAAGCUCGCAGCUUAACUGUGAAAUUGCCAUUGAAACUGAAAGUCUCGAGUGUGGUUGAGGUAACUGGAAUAUAUCAUGUAGCGGUGAAAUGCUUAGAUAUGAUAUAGAACACCAAUUGCGAAGGCAGGUUACUGAGCCACAACU
Molecule: ribosomal RNA, 218 nt
Filed under: uncultured bacterium
Lineage: Bacteria
Description: partial 16S ribosomal RNA
Rfam family: Bacterial small subunit ribosomal RNA
Source: RNAcentral